RNAcentral lists this ribosomal RNA (250 nucleotides) under uncultured Chroococcidiopsis sp. RNAcentral describes it as "partial 16S ribosomal RNA". It matches the Rfam family "Bacterial small subunit ribosomal RNA", at positions 796 to 1044 of the family's 1533-position model. Lineage: Bacteria; Bacillati; Cyanobacteriota; Cyanophyceae; Chroococcidiopsidales; Chroococcidiopsidaceae. The record is from RNAcentral.
CUAGCUGUAAACGAUGGAUACUAGGCGUUGAGAGUAUCGACCCUCUCAGUGUCGUAGCUAACGCGUUAAGUAUCCCGCCUGGGGAGUACGCGCGCAAGCGUGAAACUCAAGGGAAUUGACGGGGGCCCGCACAAGCGGUGGAGUAUGUGGUUUAAUUCGAUGCAACGCGAAGAACCUUACCAGGGCAUGACAUGUCCGGAACCCUGCCCAAAGGCGGGGGUGCCUACGGGAACCGGAACACAGGUGGUGC